GGAAGGAGUGGCUGCAGUCACCCGGGAAGUUGGGUGAGCUCAUCUCCAGGCCUGCCGAGGCCUGAGAAGGGUCGGCAUGCUUCGUGAUCCCAUGGUGCCACCCUGUGCUCACGGAAGACAAUGUACGGAGGCGCGUUCUGCGUGUGAGGCAUGUUUUCACCUGUCCACGAAGCUGGACAAGCCCUUCUCUGAUGCGGAGGCUUGUGAUGGUGCUCUGUGCCCUGUGACCGGACCGAUGUACACCGGGAGAAUGGGUGGACUGAUGUGCAGGGGAGCCCUGUGGAAGAGUCAUGCCUUCAGGUCUCCAUGAAGUUGGACUCCCCUUCUGCGAUGCAGAUGCACGCGACGCUGCGUUGAGCACUUUGACCGAAUGCGGGAACCAUGUGUGCACGGAUGUCCUAGCGUGUAGGGCCAGUUUCAGUGGAAGGGGUGCCUUCGGCUGUUCCGGAAAUUCAAUGGACCCUCCAGAGCUGCAGAGACCAUAGAUGGUGCGGUCUGCAUGGUUACCUGAGGGGGGCGACCUCUGCCAAAGCCACAGCAGGCACGGAGGUAAGCAUUGCACUGGUGAAGGGGGGGUUUCAGUGCAAGGGGCGGCCUCUGCCGCCCAGGAAGUUGGAGGAACUCAUCUCCAGAAGUGCAGAGGCCUGUGAAGGUGCGGUCUGCGUCAUGUCCCCAGGAUGGCACCCUGUGCAGCUGUAGGACAUAGAAGGGAGGGGAAUUUUCAGUGGAAGGAGUGGCUGCAGCCGCCCGGGAAGUUGGGUCAGCUCAUCUCCAGGCCUGCCGAGGCCUGAGAAGGGGCGGCAUGCAUCAUGAUCCCAUGGUGCCACCCUGUGCUCACGGAAGACAAUGUACGGAGGCGCGUUCAGCAUGUGAGGCAUGUUUUCACCUGUCCACGAAGCUGGACAAGCCCUUCUCUGACGCGGAGGCUUGUGAUGGUGCUCUGAGCCCUGUGACCGAAGCGACGUGCACCGGGAGCACGGGUGGACUGAUGUGCAGGGGAGCCCUGUGGAAGAGUCAUGCCUUCAGGUCUCCAUGAAGUUGGACUCCCCUUCUGCGAUGCAGAUGCACGCGACGCUGCGUUGAGCACUUUGACCGAAUGCGGGCACCAUGUGUGCACGGAUGUCCUAGCGUGUAGGGCCAGUUUCAGUGGAAGGGGUGCCUUCGGCUGUUCCGGAAAUUCAAUGGACCCUCCAGAGCUGCAGAGACCAUAGAUGGUGCGGUCUGCAUGGUUACCUGAGGGGGGCGACCUCUGCCAAAGCCACAGCAGGCACGGAGGUAAGCAUUGCACUGGUGAAGGGGGGGUUUCAGUGCAAGGGGCGGCCUCUGCCGCCCAGGAAGUUGGAGGAACUCAUCUCCAGAAGUGCAGAGGCCUGUGAAGGUGCGGUCUGCGUCAUGUCCCCAGGAUGGCACCCUGUGCAGCUGUAGGACAUAGAAGGGAGGGGAAUUUUCAGUGGAAGGAGUGGCUGCAGCCGCCCGGGAAGUUGGGUGAGCUCAUCUCCAGGCCUGCCGAGGCCUGAGAAGGGGCGGCAUGCAUCAUGAUCCCAUGGUGCCACCCUGUGCUCACGGAAGACAAUGUACGGAGGCGCGUUCAGCGUGUGAGGCAUGUUUUCACCUGUCCACGAAGCUGGACAAGCCCUUCUCUGACGCGGAGGCUUGUGAUGGUGCUCUGAGCCCUGUGACCGAAGCGACGUGCACCGGGAGCACGGGUGGACUGAUGUGCAGGGGAGCCCUGUGGAAGAGUCAUGCCUUCAGGUCUCCAUGAAGUUGGACUCCCCUUCUGCGAUGCAGAUGCACGCGACGCUGCGUUGAGCACUUUGACCGAAUGCGGGCACCAUGUGUGCACGGAUGUCCUAGCGUGCAGGGCCAGUUUCAGUGGAAGGGGUGCCUUCGGCUGUUCCGGAAAUUCAAUGGACCCUCCAGAGCUGCAGAGACCAUAGAUGGUGCGGUCUGCAUGGUUACCUGAGGGGGGCGACCUCUGCCAAAGCGACAGCAGGCACGGAGGGGGGGUUUCAGUGCAAGGGGCGGCCUCUGCCGCCCAGGAAGUUGGAGGAACUCAUCUCCAGAAGUGCAGAGGCCUGUGAAGGUGCGGUCUGCGUCAUGUCCCCAGGAUGGCACCCUGUGCAGCUGUAGGACAUAGAAGGGAGGGGAAUUUUCAGUGGAAGGAGUGGCUGCAGCCGCCCGGGAGGUUGGGUCAGCUCAUCUCCAGGCCUGCCGAGGCCUGAGAAGGGGCGGCAUGCAUCAUGAUCCCAUGGUGCCACCCUGUGCUCACGGAAGACAAUGUACGGAGGCGCGUUCAGCAUGUGAGGCAUGUUUUCACCUGUCCACGAAGCUGGACAAGCCCUUCUCUGACGCGGAGGCUUGUGAUGGUGCUCUGAGCCCUGUGACCGAAGCGACGUGCACCGGGAGCACGGGUGGACUGAUGUGCAGGGGAGCCCUGUGGAAGAGUCAUGCCUUCAGGUCUCCAUGAAGUUGGACUCCCCUUCUGCGAUGCAGAUGCACGCGACGCUGCGUUGAGCACUUUGACCGAAUGCGGGCACCAUGUGUGCACGGAUGUCCUAGCGUGUAGGGCCAGUUUCAGUGGAAGGGGUGCCUUCGGCUGUUCCGGAAAUUCAAUGGACCCUCCAGAGCUGCAGAGACCAUAGAUGGUGCGGUCUGCAUGGUUACCUGAGGGGGGCGACCUCUGCCAAAGCCACAGCAGGCACGGAGGUAAGCAUUGCACUGGUGAAGGGGGGGUUUCAGUGCAAGGGGCGGCCUCUGCCGCCCAGGAAGUUGGAGGAACUCAUCUCCAGAAGUGCAGAGGCCUGUGAAGGUGCGGUCUGCGUCAUGUCCCCAGGAUGGCACCCUGUGCAGCUGUAGGACAUAGAAGGGAGGGGAAUUUUCAGUGGAAGGAGUGGCUGCAGCCGCCCGGGAAGUUGGGUGAGCUCAUCUCCAGGCCUGCCGAGGCCUGAGAAGGGGCGGCAUGCAUCAUGAUCCCAUGGUGCCACCCUGUGCUCACGGAAGACAAUGUACGGAGGCGCGUUCAGCGUGUGAGGCAUGUUUUCACCUGUCCACGAAGCUGGACAAGCCCUUCUCUGACGCGGAGGCUUGUGAUGGUGCUCUGAGCCCUGUGACCGAAGCGACGUGCACCGGGAGCACGGGUGGACUGAUGUGCAGGGGAGCCCUGUGGAAGAGUCAUGCCUUCAGGUCUCCAUGAAGUUGGACUCCCCUUCUGCGAUGCAGAUGCACGCGACGCUGCGUUGAGCACUUUGACCGAAUGCGGGCACCAUGUGUGCACGGAUGUCCUAGCGUGCAGGGCCAGUUUCAGUGGAAGGGGUGCCUUCGGCUGUUCCGGAAAUUCAAUGGACCCUCCAGAGCUGCAGAGACCAUAGAUGGUGCGGUCUGCAUGGUUACCUGAGGGGGGCGACCUCUGCCAAAGCGACAGCAGGCACGGAGGCGGGGUUUCAGUGCAAGGGGCGGCCUCUGCCGCCCAGGAAGUUGGAGGAACUCAUCUCCAGAAGUGCAGAGGCCUGUGAAGGUGCGGUCUGCGUCAUGUCCCCAGGAUGGCACCCUGUGCAGCUGUAGGACAUAGAAGGGAGGGGAAUUUUCAGUGGAAGGAGUGGCUGCAGCCGCCCGGGAGGUUGGGUGAGCUCAUCUCCAGGCCUGCCGAGGCCUGAGAAGGGGCGGCAUGCAUCAUGAUCCCAUGGUGCCACCCUGUGCUCACGGAAGACAAUGUACGGAGGCGCGUUCAGCGUGUGAGGCAUGUUUUCACCUGUCCACGAAGCUGGACAAGCCCUUCUCUGACGCGGAGGCUUGUGAUGGUGCUCUGAGCCCUGUGACCGAAGCGACGUGCACCGGGAGCACGGGUGGACUGAUGUGCAGGGGAGCCCUGUGGAAGAGUCAUGCCUUCAGGUCUCCAUGAAGUUGGACUCCCCUUCUGCGAUGCAGAUGCACGCGACGCUGCGUUGAGCACUUUGACUGAAUGUGGGCACCAUGUGUGCACGGAUGUCCUAGCGUGCAGGGCCAGUUUCAGUGGAAGGGGUGCCUUCGGCUGUUCCGGAAAUUCAAUGGACCCUCCAGAGCUGCAGAGACCAUAGAUGGUGCGGUCUGCAUGGUUACCUGAGGGGGGCGACCUCUGCCAAAGCGACAGCAGGCACGGAGGGGGGGUUUCAGUGCAAGGGGCGGCCUCUGCCGCCCAGGAAGUUGGAGGAACUCAUCUCCAGAAGUGCAGAGGCCUGUGAAGGUGCGGUCUGCGUCAUGUCCCCAGGAUGGCACCCUGUGCAGCUGUAGGACAUAGAAGGGAGGGGAAUUUUCAGUGGAAGGAGUGGCUGCAGCCGCCCGGGAAGUUGGGUGAGCUCAUCUCCAGGCCUGCCGAGGCCUGAGAAGGGGCGGCAUGCAUCAUGAUCCCAUGGUGCCACCCUGUGCUCACGGAAGACAAUGUACGGAAGCGCGUUCAGC
Long non-coding RNA from Jaculus jaculus (lesser Egyptian jerboa), 4434 nucleotides. RefSeq lists it as uncharacterized. The record is from RefSeq and is a predicted model, not a curated record. NCBI's taxonomy places the organism in Eukaryota, Metazoa, Chordata, Mammalia, Rodentia, Dipodidae. The transcript is spliced from 32 exons.